UGGAAGUAAAAGUCGUAACAAGGUUUCCGUAGGUGAACCUGCGGAAGGAUCAUUAAAAAAUGUGGUACCAAUUAUUGGUACUAAUUAAUCAUCCUACCCUUUGUGAAUUUGUUUGUAUGAAUUUUUUUAAAUGGGUCUUUCCCUAAGUUGGAUUGUUAGUAAAAUACAAAAAGACUUAGGGGAAUGACUUUUUUAAAAGACUUUUUUUUAAUUAAAACUUUUUGUAUUCAUUUGUCUAAAAUUUAUUUUUAUAAUAUAAAAACAACUUUUGACAAUGGAUCUCUUGGUUCUCGCAACGAUGAAGAACGCAGCAAAAUGCGAUAAGUAGUGUGAAUUGCAGAAUACGUGAAUCAUCGAAUCUUCGAACGCAUAUUGCACUUUUUUAGUUUACUAAAAAAGUAUGUCUGUUUGAGUAUCAGUAAAAUAUUCUCACAAAAACAAUUUGUUUUUUGUGGUUAUGAGUGCUUUACAACGAUAAACAAGUUGUUUCACUUUAAAUUCUUUUUAAUUGAAUUUUACCAAUUCAUAAAUUAAAAUUGGAUAAAAUUUUCCUUUAACGAGGAAUAACCUAAACAAUUUUAAAUUUUAUGGAUUAAUAAACAUUCAUCAAAGGAAUCUAUACAACAAAUAACUUGAUCUCAAAUCAGAUAAGAGUACCCGCUGAACUUAAGCAUAUCAAUAAGCGGAGGAAAAGAAACUAACAAGGAUUCCCUUAGUAACGGCGAGUGAAGCGGGAAGAGCUCAAACUUGAAAUCUUCAAGGUUUGACCUUGACGAAUUGUAGUUUAUAGAAGUGUUUUCUGUUGGAGUUUUGGUAAAAGUUCUUUGGAAUAGGACAUCAUAGAGGGUGAGAAUCCCGUAUUUGACCAUGACUUUCCAGCUGUGUGAUACACUUUCAAAGAGUCGGAUUGUUUGGGAAUGCAGUCCAAAAUGGGUGGUAAAUUUCAUCUAAAGCUAAAUAUUGGCGAGAGACCGAUAGCGAACAAGUACCGUGAGGGAAAGAUGAAAAGAACUUUGAAAAGAGAGUUAAACAGUACGUGAAAUUGUCAAAAGGGAAGCGUUUGACACCAGUGUUGUUUUCUCGAAAAUCAAUUUAAUGAGUUCUUGUUUUUAAGUUAUUGUGACUUUAUCAGCGCAUUUCUUAUUUUACUUGACUCAUUGAAUGCACUUUUCGUUUAACAAGUCAACAUCAAUUUCUUUGGUGGUAAAAAGUUUAAAGGAAGGUGGCUUGGACUUCGGUUCAAGUGUUUAUAGCCUUUUUUCUAUGCCAUCGGAGAGAUCGAGGUCUGCAGCGUAGAUCCUUCGGGGUUAGAUACCUUUGUGCUAAGUUAUAGUUUUUUAUAGACAAC
Molecule: unclassified non-coding RNA, 1348 nt
Filed under: uncultured Neocallimastigales
Lineage: Eukaryota; Fungi; Neocallimastigomycota; Neocallimastigomycetes; Neocallimastigales
Description: partial contains small subunit ribosomal RNA, internal transcribed spacer 1, 5.8S ribosomal RNA, internal transcribed spacer 2, and large subunit ribosomal RNA
Rfam family: Eukaryotic large subunit ribosomal RNA (bases 634-1348)
Source: RNAcentral